GGGGCCUUUUAGGUUUUCUAAUCGGAAUGAGAAGAAUUUAAACCUCUCACCGAGGAUCCAUUGGAGGGCAAGUCUGGUGCCAGCAGCCGCGGUAAUUCCAGCUCCAAUAGCGUAUAUUAAAGUUGUUGCAGUUAAAACGCUCGUAGUCGGAUAUCGGGGCGCGGACACAGAAGCGGCUCCGGUUGCAGCUGUGAACGGUCUGCCCCUAAUUCUGGGACGCGGUGUGCGGGACUUUACUGUCUCUGCGCACCUGCGGGCCGGACGUUUACUGUGAAGAAAUUAGGGUGUUCAAAGCAUGCGUUCGCUAUGGAUACGUGAGCAUGGAAUAAUAGAAUAGGACUUGGGCUCUAUUUUGUUGGUUUCCGGGGACCAAGUAAUGAUUAAUAGGGAUAGUUGGGGGCAUUCGCAUUUCAUUGUCAGAGGUUGAAAUUCUUGGAUUGAUGGAAGACGGACUACUGCGAAAGCAUCUGCCAAGGAUGUUUUCUUUGAUCAAGAACGAAAGUUAGGGGAUCGAAGACGAUCAGAUACCGUCGUAGUCUUAACCAUAAACUAUGCCGACUGGAGAUUGGCGGGGAUUUGUUGUAUG
This 586-nucleotide ribosomal RNA is filed under the name Porphyra purpurea. RNAcentral describes it as "SSU rRNA". It matches the Rfam family "Eukaryotic small subunit ribosomal RNA", at positions 487 to 1073 of the family's 1831-position model. Lineage: Eukaryota; Rhodophyta; Bangiophyceae; Bangiales; Bangiaceae. The record is from RNAcentral.